Long non-coding RNA from Camellia sinensis, 291 nucleotides. RefSeq lists it as uncharacterized. NCBI's taxonomy places the organism in Eukaryota, Viridiplantae, Streptophyta, Magnoliopsida, Ericales, Theaceae. The record is from RefSeq and is a predicted model, not a curated record.
CCUAAAGACAAAGAAGAGAACAUGAAGAGAAGACAAAGGGAAGAGUAGUCAUUCGGAGCGACAGCUUUGCUUGCGACGGUCAUUGCUUUGUCCGGUCGACGAAGACCCACGAACAACGCAGACAAAGCCAUCUCACCUCUCCCUCUGGCCGAAGCUCUCGUACCUCUUCCUCGCAUCGCCAAAUUUCAGGGAGUGGCUGAUUGAGUCUGUCUUAGUCUCUUGCCUACUAGUAAGGGUAGUUGGGUUACUAUUGCAAGGGCAUUGAGGUUGUUGAGGCUACUAAGACUAUAG